ACGGGAGGCAGCAGUGGGGGAUAUUGCACAAUGGAGGAAACUCUGAUGCAGCAACGCCGCGUGAGGGAAGACGGUCUUCGGAUUGUAAACCUAAGUUAUCAGGGACGAAGUCAAUGACGGUACCUGAAGAGAAAGCUCCGGCUAACUACGUGCCAGCAGCCGCGGUAAUACGUAGGGAGCGAGCGUUGUCCGGAUUUACUGGGUGUAAAGGGUGCGUAGGCGGGCUUGCAAGUCAGGCGUGAAAUCCCGCGGCUUAACUGCGGGGCUGCGCUUGAAACUGUAGGUCUUGAGUGAAGUAGAGGCAGGCGGAAUUCCCAGUGUAGCGGUGAAAUGCGUAGAUAUUGGGAGGAACACCAGUGGCGAAGGCGGCCUGCUGGGCUUUAACUGACGCUGAGGCACGAAAGUAUGGGGAGCAAACAGGAUUAGAUACCCUGGUA
Molecule: ribosomal RNA, 437 nt
Filed under: uncultured Clostridiales Family IV bacterium
Lineage: Bacteria; Bacillati; Bacillota; Clostridia; Eubacteriales; Eubacteriales Family IV. Incertae Sedis
Description: bacterial SSU rRNA
Rfam family: Bacterial small subunit ribosomal RNA
Source: RNAcentral